CUGAGAAUGAAUGGGCAGCUCAAGUCACUUCUUCAGUUUUAUAGCCACGGAAGCCGCACACGGUGAUUUAUAAUCCUGGAACAGCUGCUGUCUCCGGGGGACAUGGAUCGAUGUUGAGGAACAGACCCAUCAACGAUGCAGACAAGGACAGUGUUUCCUCUAGGCAAGGGGUGCUUCUGCUCCUCUCCCAAGAUGUCUUGCCACUGUGCAGGUGUAUGUGCAUGUGUGUGUGUACUUUCUCCAUCCUAGAAAUUCAAUUUCUGCCACUGCCUUUGUUUGCUGGCCCCUAUGUAUCCUCAGAAUCCCACACAGUGAAGGCUGCGAGAUCCAAGGAGCAGGAUCCAUGCCACAUUCUCAGCCUGGAUGGCACACAGAAGAGAGCAAAUCACAUGAACAUGGAGGGUGAGCUCCAGCUUCAGGACAGCACCCCUGUUAACAUAUGUUUGACACACAUUAAUACACUUG
This 465-nucleotide long non-coding RNA is filed under the name Chinchilla lanigera (long-tailed chinchilla). RNAcentral describes it as "lncRNA (ENSCLAG00000028285.1)". The record is from RNAcentral. Lineage: Eukaryota; Metazoa; Chordata; Mammalia; Rodentia; Chinchillidae.